UACAGAGGGUGCGAGCGUUAAUCGGAAUUAUUGGGCGUAAAGCGCGUGUAGGCGGCUUGGCAAGUCGGGUGUGAAAGCCCUCAGCUUAACUGAGGAAGUGCGCCCGAAACUGCUUAGCUUGAGUACCGGAGAGGAUGGCGGAAUGCCCCAAGUAGAGGUGAAAUUCGUAGAUAUGGGGCGGAACACCGGUGGCGAAGGCGGCCAUCUGGACGGAUACUGACGCUGAGACGCGAAAGCGUGGGUAGCAAACAGG
Molecule: ribosomal RNA, 253 nt
Filed under: uncultured bacterium
Lineage: Bacteria
Description: partial 16S ribosomal RNA
Rfam family: Bacterial small subunit ribosomal RNA
Source: RNAcentral